UCUAAAUGACAUACCAUAUGUGAAAGAACUGAAUGAUGAUCAGUUGGAGAAAUUGAUGAGUAGAUUUGAUGAAUUUGAUCUUGUUGUCAGUGG
This is a long non-coding RNA of Hibiscus syriacus, 93 nucleotides long. RefSeq lists it as uncharacterized. The record is from RefSeq and is a predicted model, not a curated record. The transcript has 3 exons. Lineage: Eukaryota; Viridiplantae; Streptophyta; Magnoliopsida; Malvales; Malvaceae.